GUGCCAGCCGCCGCGGUAAUACGUAGGGUGCGAGCGUUGUUCGGAGUUAUUGGGCGUAAAGGGCGUGUAGGCGGCUUGAGAAGUCUGGUUUGAAAUGCACUGGCUCAACUGGUGCGCUGGGUCAGAAACUGGCAGGCUUGAGUUCAUGGGGAGGAGCUGGAAUUCCAGGUGUAGGGGUGAAAUCUGUAGAGAUCUGGAAGAACACCGGUAGCGAAGGCGGGCUCCUAUGGAUGGACUGACGCUGAGGCGCGAAAGCGUGGGGAGCAAACAGGAUUAGAAACCCGUGUAGUCC
Molecule: ribosomal RNA, 292 nt
Filed under: uncultured bacterium
Lineage: Bacteria
Description: partial 16S ribosomal RNA
Rfam family: Bacterial small subunit ribosomal RNA
Source: RNAcentral